Molecule: non-coding RNA, 311 nt
Organism: Pelobates cultripes (western spadefoot toad)
Lineage: Eukaryota; Metazoa; Chordata; Amphibia; Anura; Pelobatidae
Source: the annotation of a GenBank genome assembly
GGAUCAUAAGCUGUCUGCGGAGAACGAACUCCAUGUGCCUGGCCUGAAAUGUCACAUUCUAAGAAGUCAUGGAAUUAUUUUCCUUAGUGUCAAAUCACCCUCCUGUCUGUGUUCACAUGAUGCAAGCCUGUUUAUCUAUCAGACUCUAAAAUAAGAAACGCUCAUGUUUUAUUUAGAAGCUCGGUGUGAUGUAAGUAACCUUGGGGUAUAUGUCAUUCGAUCUCUUGAUUUCUAGUUAAGUACCUGGUUUUAAGUAGGAGAGAAGCCUUUAUUUCUCUUUGUUGUGUCACUAGCUGAGACACGAAACAGCC